This 485-nucleotide ribosomal RNA is filed under the name uncultured bacterium. Its description in RNAcentral is "bacterial SSU rRNA". It matches the Rfam family "Bacterial small subunit ribosomal RNA", at positions 15 to 507 of the family's 1533-position model. The record is from RNAcentral.
GAUCCUGGCUCAGAUUGAACGCUGGCGGCAGGCCUAACACAUGCAAGUCGAGCGGGGUUUUCGGACCUAGCGGCGGACGGGUGAGUAAUGCGUAGGAAGCUACCCGAUAGAGGGGGAUACCAGUUGGAAACGACUGUUAAUACCGCAUAAUGUCUACGGACCAAAGUGUGGGACCUUCGGGCCACAUGCUAUCGGAUGCGCCUACGUGGGAUUAGCUAGUUGGUGGGGUAAUGGCUCACCAAGGCGACGAUCCCUAGCUGGUUUGAGAGGAUGAUCAGCCACACUGGGACUGAGACACGGCCCAGACUCCUACGGGAGGCAGCAGUGGGGAAUUUUGGACAAUGGGCGCAAGCCUGAUCCAGCCAUGCCGCGUGAGUGAAGAAGGCCUUCGGGUUGUAAAGCUCUUUCAGACGGAAAGAAAUCGGUGCGUUUAAUACAUGCACUGGAUGACGGUACCGUAAGAAGAAGCACCGGCUAACUACGUG